This 460-nucleotide ribosomal RNA is filed under the name uncultured bacterium. RNAcentral's name for it is "partial 16S ribosomal RNA". It matches the Rfam family "Bacterial small subunit ribosomal RNA", at positions 338 to 795 of the family's 1533-position model. The record is from RNAcentral.
CCUACGGGUGGCAGCAGUGAGGAAUAUUGGUCAAUGGGCGCAAGCCUGAACCAGCCAAGUAGCGUGAGGGAUGACUGCUCUACGGAUUGUAAACUUCUUUUAUAAGGGAAUAAAGUGAGGGACGUGUCCCUUUUUGUAUGUACUUUAUGAAUAAGGAUCGGCUAACUCCGUGCCAGCAGCCGCGGUAAUACGGAGGAUCCGAGCGUUAUCCGGAUUUAUUGGGUUUAAAGGGUGCGUAGGUGGGCUGUUAAGUCAGUGGUGAAAGUUUGUGGCUCAACCGUAAAAUUGCAGUUGAUACUGGGAGUCUUGAGUACAGUUGAGGUAGGCGGAAUUCGUGGUGUAGCGGUGAAAUGCUUAGAUAUCACGCAGAACCCCGAUUGCGAAGGCAGCCUACUAAGCCGUGACUGACACUGAUGCUCGAAAGUGUGGGUAUCAAACAGGAUUAGAUACCCGUGUAGUC